RNAcentral lists this ribosomal RNA (534 nucleotides) under Triticum aestivum (bread wheat). RNAcentral describes it as "partial small subunit ribosomal RNA". The record is from RNAcentral. Lineage: Eukaryota; Viridiplantae; Streptophyta; Magnoliopsida; Poales; Poaceae.
AUGGCGGCCUCCCUCUGGCUCCCUUCUCCUCCUCUUCACAGCGCCGUCUUCCUCUCGACCAACCACUCCCCCUCCCCCUCUCCUCCUUCGGCGUCUGCGUCUCCUCUGCUGCACAGGAAGCACGCACCGGCCAGAGCCAGAGGCAACCUUGCCUGCAGCUCAUCCGGUAGCUCCUCGUCCUCUGCUUCCCCUGUUGUGACCAAAGAUCAAGAGGGAGCAGCAGCAGCAGAGGCGACGUCCCCUGCCCCUGCCCCGGCGGCCGUCAGAUACGACUACAAAGAUGACCCCAACUUCAGGGGGUGCAAGGGGUGCGGCCGUGAGGAAACCGAGAGGGGCUGCAACGGCGAAGGGCGGAUCAUGGGCGGCAUAGCCGCCGUCCCCUUGUUCGGGUGGUGGCCGAUCAAGGCCUACCGGCCGUGCCCCGGCUUCGUCGCCUCCGGCGGCCGGUACCGGCGCUACGGCCAGAGCAUGGACGACGUCAUAGCCGGCAAGGGACGGAAAGUCGCCUCCGACAAGAAGAAAAGUGAAAAAUGA